GCAGCCUCCAGAGAGCUGUGUAUAGAGUGGUAAGGUGCUACAAGCUCGCGGUGCGUGUGGCGGCCAUACUCAGCCUUCCCGUCUCCUCGCCUGGAGAGCUCCACGACCGUUACGGUAGCAGACGGCAGACUCCACAGGCUGUGCGGGGCGGCUUCAGGCCAGGUCGCUGCUGGGUCAACAACAACAACGUGUGUCGUUGUUUAUUGAUUCCUUUCGAGUUCAUUAACAAGUGCCGUGGAAGAUGUGAGCGACCAUGGUGGAGAAAUGUAGCAAAUUCUCGCCCAUCGUCAAAGCCAGAUCGGAAAUAUGGCGGGAGGACGAGCUGGCCAGGGACUCCAUGCAGUCGUCGCUCGAUGUAUCUCCUCACGCUCAGCAUCCCAGCCACCGGUCGCACUCGGAGGGCGAGCUUGGGGAUACUGCAGGGCGAGUAGUUGUAGGCAACGAACGUGGCCCGCCCGUCACCAUCAACGAACUCGUUCAGCUUUCUCAUAUUGGUAUUCCACGAGAUCAGGUAACAUGGGCACGUGUUACGCUCACUUCUGAUAAGUGGAUUUCAGUGCGUCAUGACAACCAUGAUGACCUCAGCAGUCGAAGGGCAACGGUAACAGUACUGAGCCCUAAGGAAGGGACAAUAUCAUAUGCAGGACAAACUAGUGCUGACUCAGUCUACAUGAACCCUACACAGCCAAUCAUUGCGCUGAAAGCUGGUUUUCGCUUUGAGGCUUUCAAUCUGGACACAAAACUGCUGAUAGGGCGGACACACUUACACGAGCCUGUCUCCUAUUGGACUUGGUUAAACUCAGACAUUAUUGCCAUUGUCACUGACACAGCAGUCUUCCACUGGGAUUUAUGGCAAGGGGAUAGUCCUCCAGAGCGAGUCUUCUUGCGACAUCACCGGCUGGCCUUCAGUGAGAUUGUCAGUUAUAAGGCUGACCCCAGUCUUAAGUGGCUCGCAAUAACAGGUCUGAUCCCCGAGGAUGACCGCAUCUCAGGUGUGACUCAGCUGUACAGUGUUGAAGAGGACAUCACUCAGUGCAUCAGCUCCCAUGCUGUUUGCUUUUCCACAUACAACUUUGCUGACAACCCCCAGCCCUCCACAGUCUUAUGUGUAGCCUCUCGCGAGUCCCAGGACCAUGGCAAGGUGCAUGUCAUAGAGCUGGGCCCAUACAGAGCUGGAAAUUAUGCUCCCCGUAACUGCUAUGACCACAUUCAGUUCCUGGAUGACACUGAGAGAUAUGAUUUUCCUAUCUCUGUUCAGGUGUCAACAGAGUAUGGACUGCUAUUUGUUGUAACCAAGUAUGGGUACUUGUACCUUUGUGACAUGGAGACGGGUAUGUGUCUGUGCUGUACUAGAAUCUCUGCUGACGUCAUUUUCACUUCUACCCUCAACACUGACACACAGGGCAUUCUUGGGGUGACUAGAGCGGGACAGGUAAUCACAGUAGAUCUGAAGAAGGAUGGCUUCAUCUCUUAUCUAAGAGAGACGACAAGAAAAUCCUGUUCUGCCAACCGCCUAGAGAAGGCCAUUUGCCAGUGAUCACUUACAUUUCACACUGUUUUGGCUACAGAGUGUUAUGUUUUGGCCUUCACUAUAACAAUCAGACCUAUACAAUACUGCCUUUAAAUUCUUUCCUACCUGUUAUGAUUUACUAGGGCUACAAACAAAUUUCAGUGUGAUAUCAAAGAAGUGGUAUUGGUGGAAACAGAAGGAAGAAUAUGAUAAGAUGCUCAAGAAAUGAUAAUCUUGUCUGUACGAAAUGUUUCCAAAGUGGAGGCAAGUCUUGGUGAUUUUAGAACACUAUACAAACAAUAUAAACAUUAUGUUUACAUGCUGUUUGAGAGAAGGAAAGCUAUUUGUGCUUGCUUAAAACGGUUGUACCCAGUACAAAGUUAGUCUUUCUGCUUAAAUACGUCCUGUGUACGCAGUGUUAUGCACUGUUACUAUUGUGAACUCGCUGCUGGGUCUAGGCAUUGCCUCCCUUAUUGUGUCGUAUUUGGCCCAUGCUUGCAUCGUCCUUGUAUUUAUAUACAGGAGUGGAUCUUGGAGAUUUGGAAGUCUUUUAUGAUUUGAUUAUUAUGACUUCUGACAAGUAUUUUAUUGUCCUUGAAUGCUUGGACAGUAGUUGCUGCCAGGCCUUUACAUCUGCCGGACCUGGGCACUAAUGCAUGUGUUUAACCCUGAGCAGGGUGCAGUUUUACCCGCUGCUGAGACUCACAAAUCUGAUAUGUCAAGUACCUACUGAAGCAAGCUGUCUCCUGUUGCAGGCACAAUACUCCGAGAUGAUAUUUGAUUCCUGAACUUGAAGUCUGCAGGGCUUUCUAGAGCCUCACCAAGUGCAAUUUUUAUGUUAUGUACCAGAAUGUAUUUUACUGUUGUAUUCAGUCUUGUGUAGUCGUGUCGUUGGUCACAAUAACCUGUACAAGAAAACGAUAUUCAGUACCUUUUAGGUGUAGCUGAACCAUUAUGUCUGGUGUUUAUGAAUAUAUUUAUAGAAAGGUGCAUCUUGCUCAGUAUUUAAUGUUUACAUGUAUGCAUUCACUUACAAAGCCUACUAAAACAGUUUUUAUUUCAA
This 2573-nucleotide unclassified non-coding RNA is filed under the name Pomacea canaliculata. RNAcentral describes it as "clathrin heavy chain 2-like, transcript variant X1". The record is from RNAcentral. Lineage: Eukaryota; Metazoa; Mollusca; Gastropoda; Architaenioglossa; Ampullariidae.